GACGAACGCUGGCGGCGUGCUUAACACAUGCAAGUCGAACGGAAAGGCCCUGCUUUUGUGGGGUGCUCGAGUGGCGAACGGGUGAGUAACACGUGAGUAACCUGCCCUUGACUUUGGGAUAACUUCAGGAAACUGGGGCUAAUACCGGAUAGGAGCUCCUGCUGCAUGGUGGGGGUUGGAAAGUUUCGGCGGUUGGGGAUGGACUCGCGGCUUAUCAGCUUGUUGGUGGGGUAGUGGCUUACCAAGGCUUUGACGGGUAGCCGGCCCGAGAGGGUGACCGGCCACAUUGGGACUGAGAUACGGCCCAGACUCCUACGGGAGGCAGCAGUGGGGAAUAUUGCACAAUGGGCGGAAGCCUGAUGCAGCAACGCCGCGUGCGGGAUGACGGCCUUCGGGUUGUAAACCGCUUUCGCCUGUGACGAAGCGUGAGUGGCGGUAAUGGGUAAAGAAGCACCGGCUAACUACGUG
RNAcentral lists this ribosomal RNA (468 nucleotides) under uncultured bacterium. RNAcentral's name for it is "partial 16S ribosomal RNA". It matches the Rfam family "Bacterial small subunit ribosomal RNA", at positions 28 to 507 of the family's 1533-position model. The record is from RNAcentral.